RNAcentral lists this non-coding RNA (29 nucleotides) under Bombyx mori (domestic silkworm). Lineage: Eukaryota; Metazoa; Arthropoda; Insecta; Lepidoptera; Bombycidae. The record is from RNAcentral.
UAACAUCCUCGCUUCUCCUUAGCGGUCAC